Molecule: ribosomal RNA, 238 nt
Filed under: uncultured bacterium
Lineage: Bacteria
Description: partial 16S ribosomal RNA
Rfam family: Bacterial small subunit ribosomal RNA
Source: RNAcentral
CCGGCACGGGUGAGUAACGCGUAUGCAACUUGCCUAUCAGAGGGGGACGAACCGGCGAAAGUCGGACUAAUACCGCAUGAAGCAGGGGCCCCGCAUGGGGAUAUUUGCUAAAGAUUCAUCGCUGAUAGAUAGGCAUGCGUUCCAUUAGGCAGUUGGCGGGGUAACGGCCCACCAAACCGACGAUGGAUAGGGGUUCUGAGAGGAAGGUCCCCCACAUUGGUACUGAGACACGGACCAA